UAGGUGGAUGUCGUAUAGACCAUGUGAGGGUUCCGACAUGCUAGUCGUACAGAUCACUAGAUGUGAUUCCGACUAGUGGGUGACCUUAGUUAUGCGCGCUGAUGAUUGAUGAGAGAAGCACUAGAGCGUAUUUAUACACCUGUCAUCGUACAGACUACUAUAUGUAGUUCCGAGUGACGUGCAGAGUUGGACCUUACAGGUCACCGAGGUGACUCCGGUUGGAUUGGAUGUUGAGCUUUAGAAUCAGCCGUACAGGACCACUUCAGGGUCUCCGGUUGAUUUAUUUUCACCUGAUUUAUAUUGAUGCAUCUAUAUUAUGUUUUUUGGACACUUGGCAUGUCAUAUUUUUCUGAAAAGUGUUAAAGGAUAGUGAUUUGAGAUAUUUGCUUAUAUAUAUGUUUAUAUAUAUGCUAUUUUCUGGGAAAGUAUACAGGUUUUACAGCGAGGGGUUAGAAAUGUUUUAAAUGAAAGAUUUUCGAAAAGCUUUGUUUUGCUGACCCACUCAAUUUUGUUUUGCGCCCCUCCAGGUUCAAGUUAGCAGAGCUUUGGUGGCCACGAGGAACCCAACGGCGUUCUGACAGAAUUCACAAAAGUAGGACUCACCCUCUGGGGUUUCCAUUUUAGUAAUUGUAUUUUAAAAGCUUCCGAACUGUGUAAAUGGUUAUGUCACUCUCACGUGACGGCCAGCACGCCCUCUUUCGUGACGGAGUGUGUCACUUCUUGUACUCAAUGCAUUUCCAGAGGAGAAGAGAAGGAGACCAUCUCUUUAUUUAUUCUGUUCCAAAAUAGUAGCAUAUCUCUGGCUAGUUUCCUUGUACGAAUUGUAGCCCCCUCAUCAAUUUAAGAGAUCUACUGACCUUCAAUUUCACCUACAAAGAAUAAAAGAGUCGACAGUUCAGUAUAAACAUUACAAACGCCAUCUGAUGAAAUCUAAACCUUACAGACGCCAGAAAAGGGUACAAAUUUUAGAGAGACAACGCUGUCGAAAUCUUACAGGAACAAUCCUAGGUGGAGCAAAUCUUUCAAAACCUACCUCAUCCCUCCCUCACUCUCUCUGCAAUUCCCAACCAACCCCAUUCCUUCCUCACUCUAUCUCUUUAAUUCCCACUCUCCCAUAACCCCAUAUUCAGCAUCACCACUCAACCCAUAAUUCUAUCUCUGCAUUCCCACUCCCCCAUGCCCCCAAAUUCAUCAUUUUUUUCAUCUAAAUUACCAUGAAAAAGUGUGAUUAAUAAUCUUAACAACGUGCUCAAAAUCAAUCCCAAAUUAUCUGAAAUGGCAUACACUUCAAAACAAAAAUUUAAUUCUGCUACAGGACCUAAUGGACGGCAGAAAAUGGUAAGGGGAGACGGGUUAGGACAGUGGAAAAUGGACCAGGUUUUUUUUUUAUUCAUUGAGUCCAUCAUUUUGUAAGUGGUCUGCCAACUCCUUAAUUUAAUAAGAUUAGUUUAGGACUUUGUGAGCAUGGGUGCUGCACGUUGAUAACAAAACAAUUUAAAAGUUGAGAAACCUUACCCACUCAUCUAUUGUAUUAAACCUUAAAGAUACCUCCCAAUAUAAACAUAAAUUAAAUAUAACUAAAAAAAUACAGAUAAAACAAACAAUAAUCAGCAAACAAAAACCCUAAACAUUCAGAUUUUUCAGAUUCAGAUGAAACCCAAUUUCCACACAAUAAAUUCAAAAUCCCAUUAAAGAAAAUCAAAUGCUAAAUCCAAAACCUGCAUUCUCAUAAAAAAAAAUAUCACUAAAAAGAAAAACCCAGAAAAGUUAAAAAAAAAUUAAAAAAAAACUUUUAUAAAUAAAGUGAAAUUUGACUCAAACCUACGAACAUAAUUACCCUCUUAACUUUUAAUAAUUACUCUCCAACCCAGACACAGAUUUGGUGGCUGUGAUGUAAAUAUGACAAAAUCAAGGGGGAAAAUUUUGACUGUAGCUAAGCUACAGUCAAAUCCUUCCUCAAUUUUAGAAUAGACGAGAAAAUAUGUUCGCGCGUUGCUGCGGGGACUUGAAUGUAUUAGUCGCAACAGGCAUAAAUAGUUUUCACACAAAGCAAUUAAAAAGACAUAGCACCUAAGAAUCAAUGAAAAAUUGGGACAUCUUACUCAUAUGUGAGAGUCUCAAUCCCUAUUUCAAAUCCCUAUUGGACAAAAGUUCUAAAAUUAAACUAUAUAUCUAAUUUACCAGAAAACUUUGUAAAAUUGAUAGUUUAUCUGAUAUAAGCACUUAAUUUUCCUAUUUAAAAUAGUUUACCCAUUCUUGAUAAGUAAAAUAUAGCUUAACCUUAAUUUAUUAACAGCUUAAUGCAGUUCAAAAGUAUUUCCUGUUGUGGCGAGAAGAAGCUAUAGCCAACGCGCCUUAACUUUUAACUUUUUCCAGAUGCGUAUGUACAGUUUACCUACACCCUCAUACCAUGUGUCUUGAGCUGUUAUAUAUCCUCCACUUGCAGCAUUUUCACUCUUCUGCACGGGAACCUCGACAGCAAACGAUUUCAUCUGUUACUAGUUAAUGGAGAUGUCUUCUGCAUGACUGGAUUACAAAGGGAGAGAAAAAUAGUAUUAGAAAAACACAUUAUACUCAAAAUCAUCACUAAAGAUAUUUUCAAACAAAUCACAAUCCAUUACACAAAGUGGAUCCAACUCCAAGGCAAGACUAAGCAAACACACAAACUGUAUAAAAACCCAAUAAAAGUAGAAGUGUAACAAUAUUGUUGUGCAUGUAGAUUUAUUCUCACAGAUAACGAAUAUAAGAAUUUGAUGAUCUUGUUACUCAAGCUCCAAGGACAAAUGAAAUAAAAUUCAAUGGUUAAAAUUAAUCCUUAUGUAAAUGUAUUCCCCACAUCUAUAUCAUUCAAGUACAACGAAAUUCAGUGGUUUCAACAAAAAAAAAAUCUUGAUUGACUUGAGUUCAGGACAUUCAAGUACAAUGUAAUUGAAAUUUGUGCAAGAGAUUCCAUGAAAACAUAACAUACAAACAAAACUUAAUUGAAAGCAGAAAGAAAAACUUGUACAUGAGAACUGAUAAACACAUUAUACCAUAAAAUGGCUCUACUUGGUUCCUGUAUUUUGACCUGGAAACAAUUUUGGUCCCCUAGAAGUUGCCAAUGGCACCCGAAUUGUAACUGGAAAACAACUUAGACACAUCUAUGAAAAAUUAAAACUCGAGGCACCAAAGUAUGAGAACAAAGAAACCAAAAUUGUUAAAUUUACCCUUUUAUAUCAUACAUACCAUUAAAAAUUUGUUUAGAGAUAAAAAUGGUAGUCAUAGUAAAGAAUCCAACCUAACCAAAGAAAGUGGAUUUCCUCACUUUCUAGUACUAUUAUAUUUACCGUGCUUGAGACUAUUCAAAGAUGAAAAAAGUGGAAAUUUCAUGCAAUAUGAAAACAAAUCCCUGAUAGUUAAUACUGCUUACCGUAGAAGCUAACAAUCUUAUUUCGUACGAAAAACAUGAAGAUCACUAAAAGACACCAGAAUAUAACUUUCAUCAAUGACAUACUUUAUGAGAAUUUUGGAUCCAAAAGUGGCUCCAAUAAAAUAAAUUUAGGCUUGUAUAUACAAUAUAUUAACAUGUGAAAAAAACAUGCAUACCUAAUGAAAUAAUGAGGAGAAUGGCCUUUGACCAUUUGUUGUCUUUGAUACAACUCUUUUCAUCCAUACCUUCAUGUUUGUAUCCUUUGGAACAUUAACAUGAAUAAUUUCUAGGUGAAUUUAUGCAUAUUUCAAUAUCUAGAAAGUAA
RNAcentral lists this long non-coding RNA (3734 nucleotides) under Malus domestica (apple). RNAcentral's name for it is "long non-coding RNA (MDOM_LNC000260)". Lineage: Eukaryota; Viridiplantae; Streptophyta; Magnoliopsida; Rosales; Rosaceae. The record is from RNAcentral.